RNAcentral lists this ribosomal RNA (442 nucleotides) under uncultured bacterium. RNAcentral's name for it is "partial 16S ribosomal RNA". It matches the Rfam family "Bacterial small subunit ribosomal RNA", at positions 338 to 795 of the family's 1533-position model. The record is from RNAcentral.
CCUACGGGUGACAGCAGUAGGGAAUCUUUCACAAUGGGCGAAGGCCUGAUGGAGCAACGCCGCGUGCAGGAUGAAGGCCUUCGGGUUGUAAACUGCUUUUAUAAGCGAGAAAUAUGAUGGUAACUUAUGAAUAAGGAUCGGCUAACUACGUGCCAGCAGCCGCGGUCAUACGUAGGAUCCGAGCAUUAUCCGGAGUGACUGGGUGUAAAGAGUUGCGUAGGUGGCAUAAUAAGUAGCUAGUGAAAUCUGGUGGCUCAACCAUUCAGACUAUUAGCUAAACUGUUAAGCUCGAGACCGUUAGGGGUAACUGGAAUUUCUAGUGUAGGAGUGAAAUCCGUAGAUAUUAGAAGGAACACCAAUAGCGUAGGCAGGUUGCUGGGACGGUUCUGACACUAAGGCACGAAAGCGUAGGGAGCAAACGGGAUUAGAUACCCGUGUAGUC